This 431-nucleotide ribosomal RNA is filed under the name uncultured bacterium. RNAcentral describes it as "partial 16S ribosomal RNA". It matches the Rfam family "Bacterial small subunit ribosomal RNA", at positions 29 to 507 of the family's 1533-position model. The record is from RNAcentral.
AGCGAACGCUGGCGGCAGGCUUAACACAUGCAAGUCGAGCGCCCCGCAAGGGGAGCGGCCGACGGGAGAGUAACACGUGGGAACAUACCUUUUGGUUCGGAACAACUGAGGGAAACUUCAGCUAAUACCGGAUAAGCCCUUACGGGGAAAGAUUUAUCGCCGAAAGAUUGGCCCGCGUCUGAUUAGCUAGUUGGUGAGGUAACGGCUCACCAAGGCGACGAUCAGUAGCUGGUCUGAGAGGAUAAUCAGCCUCACUGGGACUGAGACACGGCCCAGACUCCUACGGGAGGCAGCAGUGGGGAAUAUUGGACAAUGGGGGCAACCCUGAUCCAGCCAUGCCGCGUGAGUGAUGAAGGCCUUAGGGUUGUAAAGCUCUUUUGACCGGGAAGAUAAUGACGGUACCGGGAGAAUAAGCCCCGGCUAACUUCGUG